CUUCAUGGUUUGAUGGAGAAUUUUACACUAAUGCAGAGUAUUACCUAGUUAAUUUGACUAGAAUAGACAGUGAUUUUACAUGGUGAGACUGUUGCCUCCUGAGCUAACAGUUCCAUUACCAGGGGUGGGGCAGACCACUCUCCUUGAAUCUGAUGAGCUGAGGGCCGGCUGCAGAUGGGCUUGCUGGGAGCUCCCCGGGGAGGCUGGACAACAGGAAGGGGGCCAAGGAAAGGCUUGCGAUAAUUCACUGCUUCCUUUGGUCACUCACUUGCUGAUGAGUUCCUUCCUUUACUCAAUAACUGACUCAUUCGUUAUUCCCUAAUUAAGUCCAUCCAUCUCAUUUCCUUCCUUCGACAAGCUGGCAGUGUGUGCCUGUGAGGCGCCAGGCCCAGUGGUGUGUCCUGGGGGUACAAGAUGCCUAAGCCCACUCCUUGCCCGUUGGGUACUCACAGACAUGCUGGAGAAAACAGUUGCAAACAUCUAAGCGCACCACAGUAGACCCAGAGUGAAUCCAAACCCCUGUGGGAGCCUGGAGGAGAGGCUGGCAGCUUGGGAGGCUGGGGCAGACCCGGCACAGGGCUGAGACCUAACCGGAAUCUUCCACUGGCCAAGUGUGUGAGGGGACUGGACCAACAGUGGGGUCAGCAGCUGGGUGCAGAGAAAUGAACUUCUGGUGCUGGUGGCCACCUGGGAUCUACCUCUAAGUUCCUGCUGCCAGACUGGCCCAUGGAACAUUCUCUGUGUGAUGGCUGUCCUGGCUGCCCAACUAGAAGAACACAGGUCUAUGGGAAGUUAGAGGCUGUGUUUAUUCGCCUGGAUCUCAUCUCACACGGUGCCGGGCACACGAGGAGUAUUGAGUGCCUGUAUGCUAAAUACAUGAGUGCCUCGAAACCACCACCCUCUCAAUCACUUUACAGAGGAAGAAGCUGGAGUCCACAGAGCUUCUUCCAAUCCAGGCUGAGAAAGGGGCCCGUGAAGUGCUGCUGGGAUGAGGACCUGGGUCUCGUUCAAGAGCAAGGGCACACACGUCCCUGGGUCUGCACCUAACACUACUGCGUAUGGCUCCAGGCCAAAUCUCCAAAUGAAAUCAGGCCGGGGAGAAAUGAACAACCGAGAUGCACAAAACAAUGUGAAGAAGAAACGAAUAAUAAUAUAAAAAAAAAAGUCGGUGGUUGAAGCCCAAGAUGAGCCGUGGGAGGGGCUCAGGACAUGACACGAUGUGAGGGGUGGACUGCUGUGUGCCAACAGUGGUGAUGAUUGACAACAUCCAACAGCGUUCUGGACACCUUUCUCCUUCACAGUUCCAAAAGCACAUUUAUUUGCUGUGCCUCUCGCCCCCUGCCCUGCACUGCCUGGCGUGGGGUGCUGCCCACAGUGGGUGCUCAAUCAAUGCUGCAGGCUGAUUGGUGAUUGGCAUCAGCAGUUUUGACUCCACGCCGGGAGUCGAGUCUCCAGCCCUGGACUAACUACCCAGCACCCUUUUAUGGGAGCUGAUUUGGGGGAGACUAGCCUUGAGGUGAGACAGCAGCAGAGUUUCUCAAAUGGAAAGGUCUUCGAAGAGAAGGGCUGGGGGCCUGCCAGGAGCCACCUCGCCUCUGCUACGGGCUUUCUCAGUCCAGCCAACGGAGAGGCCCCAGACAGCUUCCGCAGCCAGGAGCUUUGACUUCGCACUCAAGUCCAUGUCUUGAGCCUAAACAAUCCCGUCCACGAUCCACAUAACGUUUGAUCAUCAAGUCUCCGUAGCUGCUGGUCUGUGACACUUUUUCAGUCUUUCCUUGUUGUUCAUGGCCUAGACAGUUUUGAAGAUACUGGUCAGGUACAAAAAAGGACACUGGAAGAAUGGGAGCACAUCGUCUGUGGUUGGACAGCUGGUGGGUGGUCAUUGCCGGGAUUUGAACUUACGUCUGCCUGGGUCCAGCGCUCUUUCCACUACACCAAGCUGCCAAUAGAAAAAAAGAAGAGAGUAUCGACCUCACCGGGAUUAAAUGUGAUAAUGGGAAGGAGAUAGUGGAUUAUGGACCCUCUCCAGGUGGUGGUCAGAGGAUAUCAGACCAGCCAAAACGAAUCUGUGGUGAUUGAAGGCAAGUGGCCACUUUUGGAGAAGAAGGCCGGAACAGAGUUAGUGUGACUGGAACAGACUAAGAAAAGCUUUUGGAGUGCUGUGACUUAUCUGUUUCUUGAUCCAGUGGGAGUGGUACUACUAUGUUUACUUUUUGUGUAUAUUCUACUUCGAUAAAAAUCUUUUUAUAAAAAUCGGAGGCAGGUUUUCAAAAAGGAAGCAGGCAAAGAAGACCGUGGACUAUGAACGUCCUCUACCACCAGGAGUGUGCUAAACAUCCAGUCCCCUGGGCAGAUCUGUGCAUAUCCGGCCUGGCAAGGGGAAAGCUGAAGAGCUGGCCAUCCACCCCACGUUGAGGAAUGAAUGUUUCAGCGGCAAGGCUCAUGCUUGUUUCCACCCCGCCCCCUGACUAAGUCAGGACACUUGGACAAAAGCUACAUACCCCAGACAGCCCCCACUGCCUCUACAGAGGUCGUGCGCCAGGCCCUGCAAUCCUGCUGUGACUCUGCCCAUCUCUUUCCCGCUAAGAGCAAACGGAAAUGCCGGGUGCGGUGCAAGAGACAUUAUGAUAAGCUAAGCUCUCUUUCAGAUCUUCUCUCUUUCUCAAAUAAAAGCUUCUCGGACUUGAUGCCGUAUGAUUGGUAACAAAGUACUCGCAGUGCGCCUCACUGCGACGAGGGCAUAGAAACCAACAGCCAAGCACACUGUAAGGAACACACGUGUGGCAGGGCAUGAGAGUAUAAGAGCCUCUGGGUAGGGCGAUUUAUGAGCACUCAGCAAACGUCUGAGUGCCUACUUGGUGCCGGGCUCUGUGCUAGGUGUGGGGCAUGACUGCUUGUUCCAAGAGUAACUGGAAUCUAUGAAUAUCUUUAAGAAUGGUUUAGAAAAUCACCUAAGCAGGGAUGCGUGGGUGGCUCAGUCGGUUAAGCAUCGGACUUUGGCUCAGGUCAUGAUUCAUGGUUUGUGAGUUUGAGCCCCACGUCAGGUUCUGCGCUGACAGCUCAGAGCCUGGGGCCUACUAGGAUCCUGUGUCUCCCUCUCUCUCUGCCCCUCCCCUGCUUGCACUCUGUCUCUGUCUCUGUCUCUGUCUCUGUCUCUCUCAAGAAUAAAUAAGCAUUUAAAGAAAAAAGAAAGUAAAUCACCCAAGCAGAGAUCAGGCAGAAAAUGGGCAAGGCCAGAGGCACGUGGGUGACUCUGUUGGUUAAGUGCCCAACUCUUGAUUUCCACUCAGGUCAUGAUCUCAUAGUUGGUGGGAAGGAGCCCUGCAUGGUGCUCUGUGCUGACA
This is a long non-coding RNA of Acinonyx jubatus (cheetah), 3344 nucleotides long. RefSeq lists it as uncharacterized. NCBI's taxonomy places the organism in Eukaryota, Metazoa, Chordata, Mammalia, Carnivora, Felidae. The record is from RefSeq and is a predicted model, not a curated record. The transcript has 13 exons.